This 84-nucleotide microRNA precursor is filed under the name Heterocephalus glaber (naked mole-rat). Its description in RNAcentral is "mir-544 microRNA precursor family". It matches the Rfam family "mir-544 microRNA precursor family". Lineage: Eukaryota; Metazoa; Chordata; Mammalia; Rodentia; Bathyergidae. The record is from Rfam by way of RNAcentral.
AAUACAUGAGUAUCUUGUUAAAGUGCAGCUUCUGACUCAGUAGCUAAGAUUCUGCAUUUCUAACAAGAUCUCAGAUGAUUCUAA